AGGAACAACAACAGUAGAGGCAGCCAGCUCUGGAGCCCUGGAGUCAGCUCCCGCAGUAACUCCGGAGCUCUCCGUCUGCAGGGCCUGGAGGCUCUGGGGCGGG
RNAcentral lists this microRNA precursor (103 nucleotides) under Canis lupus familiaris (dog). RNAcentral's name for it is "mir-8834 microRNA precursor family". It matches the Rfam family "mir-8834 microRNA precursor family". The record is from Rfam by way of RNAcentral. RNAcentral also lists the same sequence under 1 other name. Lineage: Eukaryota; Metazoa; Chordata; Mammalia; Carnivora; Canidae.